RNAcentral lists this ribosomal RNA (503 nucleotides) under uncultured bacterium. RNAcentral describes it as "bacterial SSU rRNA". It matches the Rfam family "Bacterial small subunit ribosomal RNA", at positions 28 to 523 of the family's 1533-position model. The record is from RNAcentral.
GACGAACGCUGGCGGCGUGCUUAACACAUGCAAGUCAAGGGGGUGUCGUCGCAAGACGGCGCAACCGGCGAACGGGUGCGUAACACGUGAGCAACCUGCCGAGGUGUGGGGGAUAGCCGGCCCAACGGCCGGGUAAUACCGCAUACGUUCUCUGAGGGACAUCCCUUGGGGAAGAAACCGAUGGGGCAACCCAUGGGGCAGCUCGAGGGGCUCGCGGCCUAUCAGCUAGUUGGUGUGGGAACGGCCCACCAAGGCGACGACGGGUAGCUGGUCUGAGAGGAUGGCCAGCCACAUUGGGACUGAGAGACGGCCCAGACUCCUACGGGAGGCAGCAGUGGGGAAUCUUGCGCAAUGGCCGAAAGGCUGACGCAGCGACGCCGCGUGGGGGAUGAAGCAUUUCGGUGUGUAAACCCCUGUUGCCCGGGACGAACACGAGGUUUCGACCUCGCUGACGGUACCGGGUGAGGAAGCACCGGCUAACUUCGUGCCAGCAGCCGCCGUAA